GAACCAGUGCAGUAUAGUGGUUAAGAAUGUCUGGCUAAAAUCUGGGAAACCUGGGUUCAAAUCCCUGCUGGUACU
This 75-nucleotide transfer RNA is filed under the name Sphaerodactylus townsendi. Its description in RNAcentral is "tRNA-Phe". Lineage: Eukaryota; Metazoa; Chordata; Lepidosauria; Squamata; Sphaerodactylidae. The record is from RNAcentral.